This 1978-nucleotide unclassified non-coding RNA is filed under the name Hevea brasiliensis (rubber tree). Lineage: Eukaryota; Viridiplantae; Streptophyta; Magnoliopsida; Malpighiales; Euphorbiaceae. The record is from RNAcentral.
CUUGGCUGUACGUUGCGCUCUUCAAACUUGUACCCUGCGCUUGCCUUUUUUCGAAGAACCGUCUUUCUUCAUUCAAAGAACCUCACACGUCGCUUCUUCCCUCUUCUUCAUCGUGUCUCUAUAUGAUCGUCUUUUCUCUUCAACAAAUUAAUCAAUCAAAAUCCAAAAUCAAAACCCUUGCGAUCUCAGCCUCCAUAAGCUAAUUCGAAAAAACCGAUCUGGAACUAUGUCUAACGCCGGUAAAGCCCCGCCGUCACCAACACAGUCGACGAGGAGGCCAGUAGAGGUGCGAUCGGUUUGGGCUGACAAUCUUGAAUCCGAAUUCAAGUUGAUCCGAUCCAUAAUCGACAGAUACCCGCUGAUCGCAAUGGAUACGGAGUUUCCUGGCAUUGUGGUCCGGCCCGCGGCCGAUGAUCCGUAUAACCGGCACCGUGAUCCGAAAGCCCACUAUCUGAACUUGAAAGCCAACGUCGAUAUGUUGAAUUUGAUCCAAGUUGGCCUCACAAUUGCAGACCAUGAAGGUAAUCUGCCGGAUCUUGGCACGAAUAGUUGCUAUAUUUGGGAAUUUAAUUUCCGCGAUUUUGAUGUGUUGCGUGACGCUCAUGCGCACGAUUCGGUUGAAAUGUUAAGAAGUCAAGGCAUAGAUUUCGAGAAGAAUCGGCAGUGCGGUAUCGAGUUGGUGAAAUUCGCUGAAUUGAUGAUGUCGUCGGGACUCGUCUUGAACGAUUCAGUGAGUUGGGUAUCAUUUCACGGCGCUUACGAUUUCGGUUACUUAGUCAAGUGCUUAACUCAGCGAGUCCUACCGGUGGAAUUAACACAGUUUCUUGACGCAGUGAGGUUGUUUUUCGGAGCUAGGGUUUAUGAUGUCAAGCAUUUGAAUCGGUUUUGCAAUUUGUAUGGCGGGUUGGACCGGGUUGGGAAGGCACUGGGUGCAAAGCGGGUUAUAGGGAAGAAGCACCAAGCCGGGUCGGAUAGCUUGUUGACGCUGCACGCGUUUCAGAAGAUUAGAGAGAAUCAAUUCAAGGAUAAGAAAUUAGACAAGUACGCCAAUGUUUUGUAUGGUUUAGAGGUGUUUACAUGAAUUUUUUUGGCUGCUGAUUGAUUGUAAAUUUGUCUUCUUUCUAUCUUAGAAAGUGGGUUCUUCUACAUUCGGUGUUUAACAAAUAUUAAUAUUAAUUGUUGAUUAAAUUCUUUUGAGUUAAAUCUAUAUUUUCUCGUUCUGCUUUGAACUCUUUGAAAAGUUUAAUGAUGUGCUUUAAUUGAAGAAUGCAUGUGCUCCCUUUUCACAUUAGGUUCUGCCUUUGCACAUAAACAUUUGGGUGAUUAUUGUGGGAAUAAUUAACUUGGUAGUUCAAAGAAUCUGAUUCAGUGUUUGUAUAUGGUAGAACUAUUGAAAAAGUUAGGAUUAAGGAAUAGAGGUGGAUUUAUCAUGUGAAGUGUAAAUAGUCUUAGAUAUGGACUAUGCUAUGUGAAUCUUUGUUUCUUGAUUUAGUUUUUCAAUAAUCUAUGUUGGCACUUAAAUCUUGGAAGUCCAUUUAGAAUAGGAACUGACAUAGUCAGUCUGUCUUUGUAUGUAGCAAUUGAAUUGCCAUCAGCAGAUUGCUUUGAAUUUCUGUAAAUCAUUCUGUUUGCCUGUUGUCAUUUAGGAUCCUGAUAGAGUUAGGAACAGAUUGUAAAUGAAAACAAGAACAGAGAGAAAUCUGUAUUGAUUCAGUAUAGCCAACCAGCCUCAGUGCAUUCAAUAUUCAAGCAACACAAUCUUUACUAUCCUAUCUUUCUUCCAAAUCUUCAAUACAGAAUUGAAAUGAGAAAAUAACAAGGAACUAAAGAAGAUAAGACAACAAGAUAAGAAUGGUUGACAAGCAACCCCCAGGAACCCGAUUCCCGUGCUAGCAAGGCUAGCCCCAGCUUAUAGCUGCAAUUCAACAAAAUGAUUUCUAGAUGCUCUCUUCGUUCUUCUCUUCUUUAUUUAUAGACU